RNAcentral lists this ribosomal RNA (450 nucleotides) under uncultured bacterium. RNAcentral's name for it is "partial 16S ribosomal RNA". It matches the Rfam family "Bacterial small subunit ribosomal RNA", at positions 338 to 795 of the family's 1533-position model. The record is from RNAcentral.
CCUACGGGGGGCUGCAGUGGGGAAUAUUGGACAAUGGGCGCAAGCCUGAUCCAGCCACGCCGCGUGAGUGAUGAAGGCCUUCGGGUCGUAAAGCUCUGUGGGGAGGGACGAACCGCCACCGGUUAAUACCCGGUGGCAUGACGGUACCUCCUUAGCAAGCACCGGCUAACUUCGUGCCAGCAGCCGCGGUAAUACGAAGGGUGCAAACGUUGCUCGGAAUCGUUGGGCGGCGGGUGAGCGUAGGCGGCGUGAAAGCCCUCGGCUCAACCAAGGAAGUGCUUUCGAAACUGCUGAGCUUGAGUACUUAAGAGGAUCGCGGAAUUCCCGGUGUAGAGGUGAAAUUCGUAGAUAUCGGGAGGAACACCAGUGGCGAAGGCGGCGAUCUGGGAAGAUACUGACGCUGAGGUGCGAAAGCGUGGGGAGCAAACAGGAUUAGAUACCCCUGUAGUC